Molecule: long non-coding RNA, 1061 nt
Filed under: Orbicella faveolata
Lineage: Eukaryota; Metazoa; Cnidaria; Anthozoa; Scleractinia; Merulinidae
Description: uncharacterized LOC110049124, transcript variant X3
Source: RNAcentral
UUCUCCAAAUCAUAUCAGUUGCAGUUUCCAGACUAUUCGCUGGACAUUAAACAACUCAAUAAAGCUUGGAAAAGAGUUGAUCAUCUGUGGUCAUAGUAAUCAUGUCUGAAUGAUUUCUCAAACAAUGGAGUAGCUCAGUUCACUAGUCUCAGAAGAUUGAAUAACAACUUUUGCAUCAAAGUAGCAAACAGAUUAGUGUCUGAAUGAUUUCUCAAACAAUGGAGUAGCUCGUCAUUACUCUCAGAAGAUUGGAAAACAACUUCUUUGCAUCAAAGUAGCAAACAGGUCCAUCUUCCUGGACGAUUACACUUCAACCAGAUGGAACAGCUAGAAAAAAGAUGGGUUGCUGAAGACAUUCUCCAUAUCAUAUCAAUUGGUGAGUACAGUUUGUAUUGUCUUUAGUUAGUAACAGCAUGUUUACAUUAUAGAAUAUCUACAUAAUCAUCAGCAUAUCCUGGAUAUAACUUGGUGCACUGCGCUUCUAGAACCACCCUGUGAGAGUUAUAUUUGGCUGUAACCAAGGCUUCUGUUAUUUAAAAACAUGUGUUGUCAAUUGAAACUACAAAAAUGUUUCACAAUAUGUAACUGGCUUGUGUCACUGAUAUGUUUCAUUGUAAGAUGUUCCUAGGAUGGGAGUCCAAUCAACAGAAAUUACAAUUAUUCAGUCUUUUCGUCAUGUCAAGAUGGCUCUUUUUUUGCUUUUCCAGGCUCACUUGUUUAUUUCAAAUGCAAUGGCUAUAAAACUUGAGGAAUGAGGAGAAUUAUUUUAGUUUAAAUUAUGAGCUUAUUUACGCUGCAGUUUUUUUAACAAGUCAUGUGCCCAGUGAAGAUUUGGAUGUUAUAUAGUUGUCACAAAUUAUCAUUAGUAUCAUUAGAGAAGAAGUGCAGAGGUAGAUCAUCUUUAUGUACAUGUAACCCUGAAAUUCUUUUUACUUGAAGUUUCAUGUACCUGAUGCUCCCUUAGAAAUGAAAGUAAGGCAUCAACCAAAAUUUCUGGGAGAAGGUUGCUAGGCAAUUUUUUCAAUUUUAUAUGCAGUUUUUCAAUUUUACAUUGUACCAAA